RNAcentral lists this ribosomal RNA (499 nucleotides) under uncultured Glomeromycotina. Its description in RNAcentral is "partial small subunit ribosomal RNA". It matches the Rfam family "Eukaryotic small subunit ribosomal RNA", at positions 591 to 1092 of the family's 1831-position model. Lineage: Eukaryota; Fungi; Glomeromycota. The record is from RNAcentral.
CCAAUAGCGUAUAUUAAAGUUGUUGCAGUUAAAAAGCUCGUAGUUGAAUUUCGGGAUCAGACUGUCGGUCGUGCCUCGGUACGUACUGGCAUCGUUGGUUUCUCCCUUCUGAAGAACCAUGAUGUCAUUCAUUUGGUGUCGUGGGGAAUCAGGACUGUUACUUUGAAAAAAUUAGAGUGUUUAAAGCAGGCUCACGCUUGAAUACAUUAGCAUGGAAUAAUGAAAUAGGACGUUUGAUUCUAUUUUGUUGGUUUCUAGGAUCGACGUAAUGAUUAAUAGGGAUAGUUGGGGGCAUUAGUAUUCAAUUGUCAGAGGUGAAAUUCUUGGAUUUAUUGAAGACUAACUACUGCGAAAGCAUUUGCCAAGGAUGUUUUCAUUAAUCAAGAACGAAAGUUAGGGGAUCGAAGACGAUCAGAUACCGUCGUAGUCUUAACCAUAAACUAUGCCGACUAGGGAUCGGAUGAUGUUAAUUUUUUAAUGACUCAUUCGGCGCCUUACG